UACGUAGGUCCCGAGCGUUGUUCGGAUUCAUUGGGCGUAAAGGGUGCGUAGGCGGUCUGCUAAGUUUGAUGUGAAAUCCCGGGGCUCAACCCUGGAAUGCCAGUGGAAACUGUCGAGCUAGAGUCCGGAAGAGGCGAGUGGAAUUCCUGGUGUAGCGGUGAAAUGCGCAGAUAUCAGGAGGAACACCAAUGGCGAAGGCAGCUCGCUGGGACGGUACUGACGCUGAGACGCGAAAGCGUGGGGAGCAAACAGG
Molecule: ribosomal RNA, 253 nt
Filed under: uncultured bacterium
Lineage: Bacteria
Description: partial 16S ribosomal RNA
Rfam family: Bacterial small subunit ribosomal RNA
Source: RNAcentral